GAUUUAUGAAUAUAGUGGUAAGUAUUCCCGCUUGUUAUGCGGGUGACCCGGGUUCGAUCCCCGAUAACGGCA
RNAcentral lists this transfer RNA (72 nucleotides) under Datura stramonium (jimsonweed). RNAcentral's name for it is "tRNA-Asn". The stretch from base 4 to 67 matches the Rfam family "tRNA", at positions 5 to 66 of the family's 71-position model. From Rfam's summary of the family: Transfer RNA (tRNA) molecules are approximately 80 nucleotides in length. Their secondary structure includes four short double-helical elements and three loops (D, anti-codon, and T loops). The record is from RNAcentral. Lineage: Eukaryota; Viridiplantae; Streptophyta; Magnoliopsida; Solanales; Solanaceae.